CUCCUCAGCGCGUGCUCUGCCCUCGGCAUCGUGUCGGAUCACGGAGCAGCUUGACGGAAGGCCUGAAGGACCUCCAUGGAAACCCGCUGGAGCGGAAACGAGCUAACGGCAGCGCGCAGGAGGCGAGCAGCUAACGGCUCACGCUGCAAAGUCAAGGGAAACCGACCUGAGACCAGCCGUCUGUUAUCUCAUUACUUCCAAAGUCAAGUAAAACCGACCUGAGACCAGCCUUCUGUUAUCGAACUACGGAGGAUGCAGCAUGCGUUUCAUCCACUGGUGGCAGCUCUGAAUGCACAGACGCUGAUGACCCUGACCAGAAGGAAGAGAGUUCCAGACAGGCGAAAACGUGGCGAGGCGCCGCGUCCCCUGAACCCCGCGCUCCUUCACCAGAGUCCGUGAGCUGCUGGCCAGAGGGCAGUCUCCAGGGUUCUAGUCCGGCCCGUCGGCGUCGAUCCACAGAGAAGCGGCCGCCACAUUCACGCCACUGAACCAGACCGCCGCCUUAUAUUCCAGGUCACUAAUAAUAAUAAUACACAACACAUGAUCCUAAUUAAACCCGAGCUCACGCUUCAGGCUACGGAUAAUAAUACAGACACUUGCAGGUACCGUCCCUGCGGCGCACCGGGGACGUGGAGAGUCGGCCGAGCGGCCAGCCGGACGCGGAGGAGGAAGCCGUCACGCCGCCCGGUGCCGGCGUGCCGCCUCCUCGCCCGCGGGCCCCGCCAGCCUUCCAGAGACCUCGCCGUCGAGGCCCCCGAGUUCGUCGCCCGCCGCGCCGUCGACGGAGCGUUCAGCUUUUGUAGAGCCACCGUGUGUUUCCUUCCAUUAGAACCGCCUCCUGCUGCACGCGCAGCCGUGGAUUUGUUACCGCUGAGAACGGAACGGCCGAGUUCCGUCGACUCGAUCAUCGGCGGAUAUGAUCCUCAUCCGUCUCUGCCGUCGUUUCUCUGCUCGACGGCACCGCGCCAAAAUCUCUUCUCCCUUUUUGGAACGUAAUUCAAUUCUACAAGUAUAGCGAGUCGUACAUCCGCUCCUCCGCUCUCUUCAUGGUUACCGGUGGCCGGCCGCAUCCGCUUCAAAACAUUGGUUCUUGGUACCGUGCUCUGAACGGAUCGGGCCCCGUCUACAUCCGGGAUGCGGUCACACCGUACACCCCGGCACGUUCGCUCCGCUCGGCAACAGCCAAUCGACUUGUGACUCCUGCACUUCGAGCUAAUCACUACAUCCAGACCUUAUAGCUGUCCUGGCUCCUGAUUGGUGGAACGAGCUCCCCGCUGACAUCAGGACGGCAGGAAGUCUCUACAGCUUCCGCCGGAAACUAAAAACACAUCUUUUCCGACUGUCUGGAUUAAAACACAGAUUAGCACUUCAGUGGCACUUAAAUGGCUCUUAUUGUGGUACUUUUGUAGUUUGACUAUGUUGAGGAAAUGUUACUUUCUGUAUUCUUGUUGUUCUUAGUUUGUACUCUAGGUUGAUGCACUUAUUGUAAGUCGCUUUGGAUAGAAGCGUCUGCUAAAUGACACGUGAUGUACGUAUUCUGCAUACGUCACACGUGCGGAGGCUCGUUCAUUCAGCGUUCCGCCUUCACUCGUCGGCGUUUUAUUUAAUUUAUUUUGUAAGGCGUCGCAAGAGACGGAGAAGGCCAGAGCACCUGCACUCCCUCCUGCGUCCUCCUCUUUUUCCCUUUCCCCCCCCAGAGCCACGACGGUCAUCGGUCAUUUGAUGCAGGAAGUUGUUCCACCAGGACGACCGGCAGCACCUCGCAGAGGAACACAGGCUGGGUGAUGGAAAGCAAAUCCAUUUUCAAUUCAGAACUUAAUUGAGACGAGUGUAUACCCCAAAACGUCCGUGUUUGGAGGUGUUGUGGAGAAGCUCGAGAAACGGACCCUCCUUUACUAUUUCCUGUGGUAACACUCGUGUCGAGUCUCUUCGCAGGUCUUCCAAGCAAAGAGAAGAUCGAGACGCAGCGCUCCGAGUUGAGAACGAAACACGGCUCCGCCGCCUCCCUCCAAAGUCUGGUGUCGUUUCCCCGACCCACGGACCAAAGAAGAGUUUGUCUCUUUGAACGUUGUCGCCUCGUCAGUACCGAUUCAUCCGUGAAGAUGUUGGCUGUCUCGGAUGCGACGUCACAACGGAGACGCCGUGUGUUCACAAACUAUUCCUCCGCUCCCGUUUUCCAAAAGCUUUGUUUCUGUGCUGAUUACUCAUCAUGUCCGUGUAGCACAACUUUAAGCUCUUACCCAUAAUUCCCGGACUUUCCGGAGGUGUGGGCACCGUGCUCUACGCAGGCGGCAUCGGGACCCAAAUUGCGAAUGAGCUCAUCGACUCCUACAGAUGAGGAAAAACUCAACCCCCCUCCCGAAAGAACCCUUUCAGGGGACAAAAGGGAAGACGCCUUCAGGAGAGCAACAGGAGGAUCCCUCUCCAGGACGGACAGAGGAGUAGAUGUCAUGUGACCAGCAUGACGUGUUACAGAGUUGCAUAACCACGUUCCACCAGUACCACGGCGCGUGUGAAGAGUUAGUCGGAGGCCUUGACCACAAUCCAGAAAGCGGAAAUAAAUUAUGUGAAAUGUGUAUUUUUUCCUCUUCCUCGUGAACCCGAUUGACCUUGUUUCCAGAUGCUAUUUGCACAAUUAUGUCUGCCAUUUUUAAUGUGUGGUUUCAGAAGUAUCUGCAGUCUAUUUUUCUUUCUUUGCUGUUAUAAAACAAACAUACCGUUUUGUA
Pseudoliparis swirei is the source of this 2726-nucleotide long non-coding RNA. RefSeq lists it as uncharacterized. Lineage: Eukaryota; Metazoa; Chordata; Actinopteri; Perciformes; Liparidae. The transcript has 7 exons. The record is from RefSeq and is a predicted model, not a curated record.